GACGAACGCUGGCGGCGUGCUUAAAAACAUGCAAGUCGAACGGACUUCUCAUGAAGCUUGCAAUUGAGAAGUUAGUGGCGGACGGGUGAGUAACGCGUGGGCAACCUGCCCCUGAGCCCGGGAUAACAGUUCGAAAGGACUGCUAAGACCGGAUAUACUUGCGGUGAAGCAUUUCACUGCAAGGAAAGGGAACGCUCAGGGAUGGGCCCGCGUCCCAUUAGCUAGUUGGUGAGGUAACGGCCCACCAAGGCGACGAUGGGUAGCCGGCCUGAGAGGGUGAACGGCCACACUGGGACUGAGACACGGCCCAGACUCCUACGGGAGGCAGCAGUUGGGAAUCUUCGGCAAUGGGCGCAAGCCUGGACCGAGCAACGCCGCGUGAGUGAUGAAGGUUUUCGGAUUGUAAAGCUCUGUCUUCCGGGACGAUAAUGACGGUACCGGAGGAGGAAGCCACGGCUAACUACGUGCCAGCAGCCGCGGUAAGCACGAGAGUA
This 494-nucleotide ribosomal RNA is filed under the name uncultured bacterium. RNAcentral's name for it is "bacterial SSU rRNA". It matches the Rfam family "Bacterial small subunit ribosomal RNA", at positions 28 to 533 of the family's 1533-position model. The record is from RNAcentral.